This 254-nucleotide ribosomal RNA is filed under the name uncultured bacterium. RNAcentral's name for it is "partial 16S ribosomal RNA". It matches the Rfam family "Bacterial small subunit ribosomal RNA", at positions 524 to 777 of the family's 1533-position model. The record is from RNAcentral.
UACAGGGGGGGCAAGCGUUGUUCGGAAUUACUGGGCGUAAAGGGCUCGUAGGCGGCCAACUAAGUCCGACGUGAAAUCCCCAGGCUUAACCUGGGAACUGCGUCGGAUACUGGAUGGCUUGAAUUCGGGAGAGGGAUGCAGAAUUCCAGGUGUAGCGGUGAAAUGCGUAGAUAUCUGGAGGAAUACCGGUGGCGAAGGCGGCAUCCUGGACCGACAUUGACGCUGAUGAGCGAAAGCUAGGGGAGCAAACGGGG